RNAcentral lists this small nuclear RNA (81 nucleotides) under Chrysemys picta bellii (western painted turtle). RNAcentral's name for it is "U4 spliceosomal RNA (ENSCPBG00000010785.1)". It matches the Rfam family "U4 spliceosomal RNA", at positions 1 to 82 of the family's 138-position model. Rfam says of the family: U4 small nuclear RNA (U4 snRNA) is a component of the major U2-dependent spliceosome. The structure of U4 snRNA from yeast and human has been reported. Lineage: Eukaryota; Metazoa; Chordata; Testudines; Emydidae. The record is from RNAcentral.
AUCUUUGUGCAGUGGCAGUAUCAUAGCCAAUGAGGUUAAUCCGAGGCGUGAUUAUUGCUAGUUGAAAAUGUUCUUAAAAUG